Molecule: non-coding RNA, 703 nt
Organism: Lonchura striata (white-rumped munia)
Lineage: Eukaryota; Metazoa; Chordata; Aves; Passeriformes; Estrildidae
Source: RefSeq, a predicted model, not a curated record
CAAAUAGUGCUCCGAGUGUCCAAGAGGUACGCGCGAUGCACGCUCCAAACGCAGAAUAGCUGUGGAAAGAAACGGGAAAGAACAUCUCGUCAUUAAAUAAAAAAUAGGUGUUGAAACUCUGAUUGCAUUACUCUGACAACAUAAUAUGGAAAAAUAAACAUACCCCACUGCUCCCUAUUCAACAGGUAAAUGAAUUGCCCUCCAACUCAUAACAAGGCAAAAAGGAGUAGCAGAUGUGUACGUCCCGCACGUGUGACUCCUGUAAGUAAAUCACAACGUGGGCUGGUUGAUUGCGAAGUGCCACGCAUGCAAGGGGCGUGCCCGGCUUCGGAACGCCGUGCCCGGAUCGCCAUCGGCCGUGCUCAGCCAGAAGAGCGAGCAGCUGCACGGGCCAGUCCUGCACCCGUGCGCCACAGGGACUCAGAUCCAGGCCCAACACGCCCAAGCCAGGCGGGGCCCCGGGGACACCCGGCCCGGCCCGGCCCGGCCCGGCCCGGGGCACCUCAGCAGCUGCUGGGGGCGCCCGGCACCGGCUCCUGACACACGCACCCGCGACUACAACUCCCGGCAUGCACCAGGGUAGACGGGCAGCCUCGCGCUGGCUGGUCGCGCUGCAUGCCGGGUCUCGUAGUUCCAGGAAUCCAGGAGCGGCAAAUCUACGGUACCACCCGCUCCCGCCGGCGGGACCCCCACUCACCAGAGC